Molecule: long non-coding RNA, 1793 nt
Organism: Paramisgurnus dabryanus
Lineage: Eukaryota; Metazoa; Chordata; Actinopteri; Cypriniformes; Cobitidae
Source: RefSeq, a predicted model, not a curated record
UUUAACUCAUCACUCUUUUUCAAAACAGCGCGGUAAACAAGAUGACGUCGCAGCUCAUCUCUUCUCCUGCUUUUCCUCCGUUGUUACAAAGGACACGAUUCAAUGAAUCAUUCAAUCGAUGUACUUGUAUUUCUGAGACAGUAAACAACGCUAUAUUAGGGAGGUCAGAGAUGAUUAUCCUUGAGGGUCGUGUGAUUUGUGAGGCCGUAUACCCCAGAUUUCGGACUGCAAGAUUUCUACUGUUCGCAAUGUACUACGUCUUAAAUCUUCAGUAUCCAGAGGCAUGUGGCACAUUGGAUUUUAUUUAGAGACAAUUUGUCGGAUAAACCCUGAAAAAGGCUCGAAGACCAGCAAAGUCAAGGUCGUUAAGAAGACUGGAAAGAAUGUGAAUAAGAAGACUGCUACUGUCAACGCAGAAGUUGCAUCCCUCCUAAAGAACCUCAUCCGUUUCGAAUGGGAUUUUGUCUAGACCUGGAUUUCCUCUCAGGCCAGAGUAAUCAGAAGCUGGAGUAAGACACUUAAAUUUUUUUCCAACAAUUAGUUUGAUUAAUGUGUUCUUCAUUUCAUGCCAGGUUUUUAAAAUAUGUUGUGCCGUGCUGGCAGUUUUUUCUUCUUGUUGUAAGUUUGUUUUUAGCUCCUUGAGUUGCACUUUUUUCUCUGAUUUCUGUUUUUAACUCUUUCCCGCCAUUGACGAGUUUUUAUAGCAAUCCGUAUUUCCGUUAUUAUGUUGCUCUUACCCAACUUAUACAACCUGGAAACAACCCCUCAGGUCAAACAAUUCAAACUCUGUGUAUGUUUUGAUUAUUGCUCUGGAUUUCUAUCAGAAGUCUUUCACAAAAUCGCCAUUAUCUCAGCUUUUUGCUCAAAAUAUGGUCUUUUUGAAGAAACCUACUCCUAUUUGAGAGGUGGUAAAAAAGAACUAAUUUUAAGGUAGGAUGAAUUUUUUUUAUUGUUGUUUGAAAGCAGAGGGGUUUGUUAUUUUAUUUGAUUCGAUUUGAUAUAUUGAAGGUUUAUAUAGUUAAAGAAGAAUGUUUUCUUGAAGGCAUUAAACUUUUGUAAAAAUCAUUAAAAACGCUGGCAUGGGCUGUCAACUUUUUUUAAAACACUGGCGGGGAAAGAGUUAACAUAAUGUUAAAUUUACUGUAACUGUUACUCAGUAGCUCCUUCAAUUGCACUUUAUUUUUGUGAUGUGUUCGUACUUUACUCUGUGGUUGCUUUUUAAUGGCACCUUUUCUCUGUGAUAGUGCAUUUAUUGUUAAACAUACUUGUAGAUGUUUACAGUGCUAAAAGAUUGUUUAAAGAUUGUAAUAACAGUUGUAUUAAUAAAUGGAAAAUGGAGCACUAUGUCAGUCAUUUCUCUUUUUUUAUUAGAUGUUAGGUUAUCAGACAGUAGAGUAAAUAUUAACUAACUUGUGUUAUGUUUCACAACUUAAAAAUGUAAGAAAACAAACAGUAAUGAGUGUGUAUAAUUGUAAGAAAUUGCUGGAACCGUUGCUGCCAGUACUUCACUGUAAAAUUACGGCACAACUGUAAAAUGGAAAACGGAGGCAAAACUGUAAAAUAACAGUAUAUGGCUGGAACCAUUGCUGCCAGUACUUUACUGUAAAAUUACAGCACAACUGUAAAAUGGAAAACGGUGGGAAAACUGUAAAAUAACAGCACAACUGUAAAAUAGAAAACGGUGGGAAAACUGUAAAAUAACAGCACAACUGUAAAAUGAAAAAACAGUGGGAAAACUGUAAAAUAACAGUAAAUGGCUGGAACCACAGCUGCCAGUAUUUUACCGUAAAUUA